AUUAAUACUUUAUUAAUAUUCCACCAUUAUAAUUAUUACUAAUACAUAAUGAAAAUAUUUAAAUUCAAAUACCUGCAUUAGAAUAUGCAUGCAAGAAAGUGAAAAUGAUAAAAAAAAACAAAGAAAGUAGUAUUUUGAAAGAGAUUUAUUUUAAAAGGUACACUACUACAUAACUGGGCUAUUGCAACAAUAUGGUUGCAACACUUUUUUUUGUGUUGCAUUAUUUAACAAAUAGUAUAAAGUUGCAACACUUUUAAUCGAAACGUUGCAUAUUACAAUCUAAUGCAACAUUUUAAGCAACGUUUUAGCCAAAGUGUUGCAUGCUACUGAUUUAAGCAACGUUUACACGCAACACUUUAUGAAAAACGUUGCAUUGUAGGAAAUAAAACAAAAAAAAAAAAAAAAGAAGCGGGCUAUCCUAAAGUAAAGCCACGUCCCCAAUUUUCCCCCUAAACAAAUUCAGUCAUCCUUUCAAAAAGAAAAACAUAAACUUCAUUCCUCAACCAGUGAAGAUUUCUCAAACAACCGCCAUUGAAGAUUUCUCGAACAUCCGCCAUUGAAGAUUUCUCAAAAAUGAACAAAACAACUUAUUCAACUGCCAUUGUUGCAAUUUCUUAGUUUCUUUCAAACUUCCGAGAAGAUUAGUUAGGAAAGGAAAAAGGCAUUUUGGCGAAUUUUGAGCUAGGGUUCACGAAAUUUGGGGGAAUUUUCAGCAAGGGUUUCACGAAAUUUGGGCGAAUUUUACCCUAAAAUUUGUACAAAGCUUUUCAAAGUCCGAAUUGGAAGCAUUUUGAUAUUUAUAUAUUUCUCGUUGAAUCAAGAAUGAAGAAUUGGCUUCUAUUUUGUGUUGAACAUUAUUUUUGGUUUAAAAACUUUUUAGCUAGCAAACUGGCUAGAUAAUCAUUUUGUAAUUUUGUACAGAAACUAGUACUUUUACAUAUUUGAUGUCGACUUCUGCUAUAAUAUAUGACUUUUUCAAA
Long non-coding RNA from Beta vulgaris subsp. vulgaris (sugar beet), 980 nucleotides. RefSeq lists it as uncharacterized. NCBI's taxonomy places the organism in Eukaryota, Viridiplantae, Streptophyta, Magnoliopsida, Caryophyllales, Amaranthaceae. The transcript has 3 exons. The record is from RefSeq and is a predicted model, not a curated record.